CUCUUUUGACUUUGGAAUAAAUUCUCUUUAUCAAUAUACUGUUUCUUCUACACAUCCGCCUACAAUCCAUAAUAAAGAAUAAUUAGGAUUCUGAAAAAAAAAGAAAAAAUCAAUGGUUCACUCACAGGAGAACCCACUCUUUCCCGCAUUAGGCACUAAUUCAUUUUUAACGUCUAAUUAGAUCGGGUAAUCAUUCCAAUUAAGAACAUAAGCUCGUUGCUUUUUAUUUUACCAAAAUUGGAGCCAUAGAGCUCUAUCCAUUUAUUCACUAGACCCAAUUUGUCCCCUUCCUAAAAUCAAAACAAUCUUUUGGAACUGUAACGAUCCGGUAAGGAUAAACUCAAAGUUCUACUUUAACUUUGACUUUCAUUUCAAAUUAAAUAAAUUAAUAAAAUCAAAAUUAAAUAAAAUA
RNAcentral lists this long non-coding RNA (412 nucleotides) under Ananas comosus (pineapple). Its description in RNAcentral is "long non-coding RNA (ACOM_LNC027786)". The record is from RNAcentral. Lineage: Eukaryota; Viridiplantae; Streptophyta; Magnoliopsida; Poales; Bromeliaceae.